AGCGAACGCUGGCGGCAGGCUUAACACAUGCAAGUCGAGCGGGCGUAGCAAUACGUCAGCGGCAGACGGGUGAGUAACGCGUGGGAACGUACCUUUUGGUUCGGAACAACCCAGGGAAACUUGGGCUAAUACCGGAUAAGCCCUUACGGGGAAAGAUUUAUCGCCGAAAGAUCGGCCCGCGUCUGAUUAGCUAGUUGGUGUGGUAACGGCGCACCAAGGCGACGAUCAGUAGCUGGUCGAGAGGAUGAUCAGCCACAUUGGGACUGAGACACGGCCCAAACUCCUACGGGAGGCAGCAGUGGGGAAUAUUGGACAAUGGGCGCAAGCCUGAUCCAGCCAUGCCGCGUGAGUGAUGAAGGCCCUAGGGUUGUAAAGCUCUUUUGUGCGGGAAGAUAAUGACGGUACCGCAAGAAUAAGCCCCGGCUAACUUCGUGCCAGCAGCCG
RNAcentral lists this ribosomal RNA (444 nucleotides) under uncultured bacterium. RNAcentral's name for it is "bacterial SSU rRNA". It matches the Rfam family "Bacterial small subunit ribosomal RNA", at positions 29 to 517 of the family's 1533-position model. The record is from RNAcentral.